UACGAAGGGUGCAAACGUUGCUCGGAAUCAUUGGGCGUAAAGCGCACGUAGGCGGCCAUAAAAGUCGGAUGUGAAAUCCCUCGGCUCAACCAAGGAAGUGCAUCUGAUACUGUAUGGCUUGAGUACCAAAGAGGAUCGCGGAAUUCCCGGUGUAGAGGUGAAAUUCGUAGAUAUCGGGAGGAACACCAGUGGCGAAGGCGGCGAUCUGGGUGGAUACUGACGCUGAGGUGCGAAAGCGUGGGGAGCAAACAGG
RNAcentral lists this ribosomal RNA (253 nucleotides) under uncultured bacterium. RNAcentral's name for it is "partial 16S ribosomal RNA". It matches the Rfam family "Bacterial small subunit ribosomal RNA", at positions 524 to 776 of the family's 1533-position model. The record is from RNAcentral.